Molecule: long non-coding RNA, 384 nt
Organism: Sinocyclocheilus rhinocerous
Lineage: Eukaryota; Metazoa; Chordata; Actinopteri; Cypriniformes; Cyprinidae
Exons: 3
Source: RefSeq, a predicted model, not a curated record
UUUACAAGGGUCCCCUGUCAGAUUGCCUCUUGCUCGAUUCUUUUCAAACACUCUGACCUGUGUUUUAAACCUAGCUACUCUAUUCUUUUAUGCUGAAAUUUUAACGCAGAUGUCAUUCAGAUCCCGAGCAGAGAAGUCUCGAUUAUAAUCCUGACCUUGAAGUGUAAUUUGUAUGGAUUAUUUUUUUAAAAGACCAGCUCUGAAAAUGGCAGCGAAUCAACUAGAGGGUGUGGUUCAAAGAUGGAGAACAACUGAAGUCUUUAAACCAGAGGACCAUAAGCUCUUUCUGAAUGCUGGUCAUACAUGCGUUGCCCAAGAUGAUUGCACUCAACUCCUGGACUUCAUAAAAGAGGAGGCCAAUCAGCACAUAGUGAGGUCUAUGGG